RNAcentral lists this transfer RNA (69 nucleotides) under Ictidomys tridecemlineatus (thirteen-lined ground squirrel). RNAcentral's name for it is "Spermophilus tridecemlineatus (thirteen-lined ground squirrel) tRNA". It matches the Rfam family "tRNA". Rfam says of the family: Transfer RNA (tRNA) molecules are approximately 80 nucleotides in length. Their secondary structure includes four short double-helical elements and three loops (D, anti-codon, and T loops). Further hydrogen bonds mediate the characteristic L-shaped molecular structure. tRNAs have two regions of fundamental functional importance: the anti-codon, which is responsible for specific mRNA codon recognition, and the 3' end, to which the tRNAs corresponding amino acid is attached (by aminoacyl-tRNA synthetases). tRNAs cope with the degeneracy of the genetic code in two manners: having more than one tRNA (with a specific anti-codon) for a particular amino acid; and 'wobble' base-pairing, i.e. permitting non-standard base-pairing at the 3rd anti-codon position. The record is from Rfam by way of RNAcentral. Lineage: Eukaryota; Metazoa; Chordata; Mammalia; Rodentia; Sciuridae.
GGGGUUGUGGCUCAGUGGUAGAGCAUUUGCCUAGCAUGUGUGAAGCUCUGGGUUCAAUCCUCAGCACCA